This 72-nucleotide transfer RNA is filed under the name Trichonephila inaurata madagascariensis. It matches the Rfam family "tRNA". From Rfam's summary of the family: Transfer RNA (tRNA) molecules are approximately 80 nucleotides in length. Their secondary structure includes four short double-helical elements and three loops (D, anti-codon, and T loops). The record is from Rfam by way of RNAcentral. Lineage: Eukaryota; Metazoa; Arthropoda; Arachnida; Araneae; Nephilidae.
GUCCCUGUAACGCAAUGAUAGCCCGUUGGACUUCUAAUCCAAAGGUCGUAGGUUCGAAUCCCACCUGGGAUG